This 471-nucleotide ribosomal RNA is filed under the name uncultured bacterium. Its description in RNAcentral is "partial 16S ribosomal RNA". It matches the Rfam family "Bacterial small subunit ribosomal RNA", at positions 28 to 507 of the family's 1533-position model. The record is from RNAcentral.
GACGAACGCUGGCGGCGUGCUUAACACAUGCAAGUCGAACGAUGAAGCCUAGCUUGCUAGGUGGAUUAGUGGCGAACGGGUGAGUAAUACGUGAGUAACCUACCUUUAACUCUGGGAUAAGCCCGGGAAACUGGGUCUAAUACCGGAUACGACCAAUCUGCGCAUGGGGUGUUGGUGGAAAGCGUUAUGUAGUGGUUAUAGAUGGGCUCACGGCCUAUCAGCUUGUUGGUGAGGUAACGGCUCACCAAGGCGACGACGGGUAGCCGGCCUGAGAGGGUGACCGGCCACACUGGGACUGAGACACGGCCCAGACUCCUACGGGAGGCAGCAGUGGGGAAUAUUGCACAAUGGGCGCAAGCCUGAUGCAGCGACGCCGCGUGAGGGAUGACGGCCUUCGGGUUGUAAACCUCUGUUAGCAGGGAAGAAGAGAGAUUGACGGUACCUGCAGAGAAAGCGCCGGCUAACUACGUG